This 801-nucleotide long non-coding RNA is filed under the name Phoenix dactylifera (date palm). RNAcentral's name for it is "long non-coding RNA (PDAC_LNC004879)". The record is from RNAcentral. Lineage: Eukaryota; Viridiplantae; Streptophyta; Magnoliopsida; Arecales; Arecaceae.
GUAAGAAAGCCAGCAAGAUAACUAGCAUUUUAUUGAAGAUAUAUGGAUGGAUACUCGUGAUAAAAAUUGAUGGACGAAAUUAAGAGAACAUUUUUUGGUUUCUAAACUGUCAUUUAUAUACUAGAUAUUAUGUAGAAUAUUAUGCUGGCACCCUCCUCUGCUUCCACACCCUCGACUAUUGUUUUAUAUGCAUCCAUCUAGCAUUACAAGUUGGGUCCAUCUAAAACAUAAGGAGAUCUAUGAUUUUUGAAACAUGUCAACAGCAUCUGAAUGCAUGUGCAUAAGCAAUUUCCGACUAGAUUUUGGAUGGUUGCCAUCCCUCUUUACAUGUCCCCAUUUCCAUCCCUAUUGUAGAGUCCCUGCUACAUUUUUUUAUAAAAAAGUAUUUGCAGUUUUUAUUUUAGUGGCCCUUAGAAGCCAUGAGUUGAAAAUCUCUCUCUCUCUCUCUCUCAUGGUUUGGAAUAAGUUAAUAUUUAAAAUGGCUAACGUAAGAGUAAUAUAUAUAUAAUCUUUGUCUUAGUUAUCCGAGGAGAGAUAGAAAGUGGCUUAUCCAGCAAGAAGUCAAGAGAAUUUAUCCUAGAAUAACUAGAAAUAGAUUAGUCUUCCACUCUCCAUUUUGCUUGACUAAUUAAGCUAAUGCUUUUAGGCUACCAUUACUAAAAGCAAGAAAAACAUUUGCAUUGAAAGUUCAAUGAAGGAAAUUAAAUCCUUUUAGACCCUAGAAUGUCAAGAACAUAGCUAAGCUACCAUUUACUAUUAUAGAAAAAAUGUCAAUAAAUAAAAAUAAGGAGUCGGUCUCCU